CUUGCUUCUCUUGAGAGCGGCGGACGGGUGAGUAAUGCCUAGGAAUCUGCCUGGUAGUGGGGGAUAACGUCCGGAAACGGACGCUAAUACCGCAUACGUCCUACGGGAGAAAGCAGGGGACCUUCGGGCCUUGCGCUAUCAGAUGAGCCUAGGUCGGAUUAGCUAGUUGGUGGGGUAAUGGCUCACCAAGGCGACGAUCCGUAACUGGUCUGAGAGGAUGAUCAGUCACACUGGAACUGAGACACGGUCCAGACUCCUACGGGAGGCAGCAGUGGGGAAUAUUGGACAAUGGGCGAAAGCCUGAUCCAGCCAUGCCGCGUGUGUGAAGAAGGUCUUCGGAUUGUAAAGCACUUUAAGUUGGGAGGAAGGGCAGUAAAUUAAUACUUUGCUGUUUUGACGUUACCGACAGAAUAAGCACCGGCUAACUCUGUGCCAGCAGCCGCGGUAAUACAGAGGGUGCAAGCGUUAAUCGGAAUUACUGGGCGUAAAGCGCGCGUAGGUGGUUCGUUAAGUUGGAUGUGAAAUCCCCGGGCUCAACCUGGGAACUGCAUUCAAAACUGACGAGCUAGAGUAUGGUAGAGGGUGGUGGAAUUUCCUGUGUAGCGGUGAAAUGCGUAGAUAUAGGAAGGA
This 630-nucleotide ribosomal RNA is filed under the name uncultured bacterium. Its description in RNAcentral is "bacterial SSU rRNA". It matches the Rfam family "Bacterial small subunit ribosomal RNA", at positions 79 to 705 of the family's 1533-position model. The record is from RNAcentral.